CAGACCCUACGGGGUGCAGCAGGCGCGAAAACUUCACACUGCAGGAAACUGUGAUGAGGGAAUUCCAAGUGGCUAGACAAAGUCUAGUCUUUUACUAACUUUUAAUCGGUUGGUGAAUAAGGGGUGGGAAAGACCGGUGCCAGCCGCCGUGGUAAUACCGGCACCCCAAGUGGUCGUCGCUUUUAUUGGGCCUAAAACGUCCGUCGCCUGUUUGGUACAUUCGUGGGUAAAUCAAGCCGCUUAACGGCUUGAAUUCUGCGAGGACGGCCAGACUAGGGACCGGGAGAGGUAUGGGGUACUCUCAGGGUAGGGGUAAAAUCCAGUCAUCCUGAGGGGACCACCUGUUGCGAAGGCGCCAUACUAGAACGGAUCCGACGGUCAGGGACGAAGCCUAGGGGCGCGAACCGGAUUAGAUACCCGGGUAGUCCUAGGUGUAAACGCUGUGGACUUGGUGUUGGGGAUUCUACGAGUAUCCCCAGUGCCGAAGUGAAGAUGUUAAGUCCACUGCCUGGGGAGUACGGUCGCAAGGCUGAAACUUAAAGGAAUUGGCGGGGGAGCACAGCAACGAGAGGAGCGUGCGGUUU
This 584-nucleotide ribosomal RNA is filed under the name uncultured euryarchaeote. RNAcentral's name for it is "bacterial SSU rRNA". It matches the Rfam family "Archaeal small subunit ribosomal RNA", at positions 317 to 903 of the family's 1478-position model. The record is from RNAcentral. Lineage: Archaea; Methanobacteriati; Methanobacteriota.